Molecule: ribosomal RNA, 457 nt
Filed under: Streptococcus sp. oral taxon 071
Lineage: Bacteria; Bacillati; Bacillota; Bacilli; Lactobacillales; Streptococcaceae
Description: bacterial SSU rRNA
Rfam family: Bacterial small subunit ribosomal RNA
Source: RNAcentral
GACGAACGCUGGCGGCGUGCCUAAUACAUGCAAGUAGAACGCUGAAGGAAGGAGCUUGCUCUUUCUGGAUGAGUUGCGAACGGGUGAGUAACGCGUAGGUAACCUGCCUGGUAGCGGGGGAUAACUAUUGGAAACGAUAGCUAAUACCGCAUAAAAUGGAUUAUCGCAUGAUAAUUCAUUGAAAGGUGCAAAUGCAUCACUACCAGAUGGACCUGCGUUGUAUUAGCUAGUUGGUGGGGUAACGGCUCACCAAGGCGACGAUACAUAGCCGACCUGAGAGGGUGAUCGGCCACACUGGGACUGAGACACGGCCCAGACUCCUACGGGGGGCAGCAGUAGGGAAUCUUCGGCAAUGGACGGAAGUCUGACCGAGCAACGCCGCGUGAGUGAAGAAGGUUUUCGGAUCGUAAAGCUCUGUUGUAAGAGAAGAACGAGUGUGAGAGUGGAAAGUUCACAC